This 321-nucleotide long non-coding RNA is filed under the name Salvia miltiorrhiza (redroot sage). Its description in RNAcentral is "long non-coding RNA (SMIL_LNC009257)". The record is from RNAcentral. Lineage: Eukaryota; Viridiplantae; Streptophyta; Magnoliopsida; Lamiales; Lamiaceae.
GACAGAGCACAUAGAAUGAGCAUAAUCAUAUCAUUUCAGCCACCAAUUAUCACUUCCCACGGUACAAUUGCAUCAUAAUCCCACAUAUCACAAUCUGUGCAUAAAGAAAAGAUCCAAAAUAGGGCAGAUCUCACCAAAAAGAACUCAGGAAGCAGGAUCCGCAUCAUAGAUUCAACAGCAUCGCUCAUGUUUCGAUGCUCCCAAUUUUUCUCACAAAAAAAGAAAGAAUCAGGAUAAGCAUCGGACAAGUCCGGCGAACCAGGGUAAGCAUCGGAGUUUGGCGAUUUACCUUCAAAGGCUAAAUCGCCUUGAAAAUGUUCU